GAUGAACGCUGACAGAAUGCUUAACACAUGCAAGUCGAUGGGGAAGUGGUGCUUGCACCCUGGUAACCAUGGCGGACGGGUGAGUAACGCGUAAGGAACUUGCCUGCUGGACUGGGAUAACAGCAGGAAACUGCUGAUAAUACCGGAUAAGGUCAUUACGCUGCAUAGCUUAGUGAUGAAAGGAGACGCCUGCGGAGAGCCUUGCGUCCUAUUAGCUAGUUGGGGGGGUAACGGUCCACCAAGGCGGAGAUAGGUAGCCGGCCUGAGAGGGUGGACGGCCACAAGGGGACUGAGAGACGGCCCUUACUCCUACGGGAGGCAGCAGUGGGGAAUAUUGGACAAUGGGGGCAACCCUGAUCCAGAAAUUCUGUGUGCACGAAGACGGUUUUCGGAGUGUAAAGUGCUUUCAGCAGGGAAGAAGGAAGUGACGGUACCUGCAGAAGAAGCGACGGCUAAAUACGUG
This 463-nucleotide ribosomal RNA is filed under the name uncultured bacterium. RNAcentral describes it as "partial 16S ribosomal RNA". It matches the Rfam family "Bacterial small subunit ribosomal RNA", at positions 28 to 507 of the family's 1533-position model. The record is from RNAcentral.